This 1873-nucleotide long non-coding RNA is filed under the name Helianthus annuus (common sunflower). RNAcentral describes it as "hypothetical non coding rna". The record is from RNAcentral. Lineage: Eukaryota; Viridiplantae; Streptophyta; Magnoliopsida; Asterales; Asteraceae.
GUGUAUGUGUCGAGAUUGAGAGAAGUCUCUAUUUCACAAGAACACAAAAAUUCUGCAAAUCAUAAGGAGAACUAGGAUGAAAUCCUUGCAUGUUCACGAAAUUCUCGUCAUCUAGUCACUACAAACCUAAGGUAUGUUGUGAAUUCUCAUUUAGUGGGUUUUCUUUGAUAGAGGAUCCUUGAAUGAUGAAGGUCUAGUGUGAAUUAUAGCAAUUAAAUGUAAAUUGAUGUAGUAGUAGUGCUUAUAAUCAUCAUCUUAGCUAAUAUGUGAGAAAUAUUUAAGUAAAUUAGGGGAUUUGGGUGAAUGUUCAUAUAUGUUAUGAAGUGGGAAUAAAGCCCCAUUCUAGUAUGGUUAUUUUGAGAGUAAAAUGCAAAUUGCGUCUAUGUGCUUUAGGAGUGGUAUUAGCUUGAGUCCCUAAAAUGAAAAUUUCGAUGUCCGAGUCCCCGUCUUUGAAACAGCAUCACAACUUGAGCCCCUCCUGCUAACUUAGUUAGUGGCAAGGACUCAAGUUGUAGCGCCUUUUCAAAGAUGGGGACUCAGACGUUGAAAUUUUCAUUUUAGUGACUCAACCUGACAACACCCUUAAAGCACAGGGACACAAAUUGCAUUUUACUCUUAUUUCAAUGUAUUGGUAUUAAUAACUAAAAUUUGUGUUAACUAUCAGUAUUAAUAACUAAAAUUUGUGUUAACUAGAUGCUAAGAAAAAUUUGAGACUGAUGACUAGCAUUAACAUGGUGAUUUUGUUGGCAAAUCAAGCUAAUUUGAUAAAAUCCAUUUCCCUUAAAUUAAUGCCUAUAACGUGUUUGAUAAAAAUGUCUAUGUAAAAUUUAAUUGUUACCAACCCUUGAAACAUUGAUGAAAGUUUCAUGAAUGAUUUUUAAUGACCUUUGAUAAAAGGGGCCAAGAAUGAUUAUGUGUGUUAUUGAUCACUUGGAUUAAAACUAUAGGGAACUUAAGCGAAGCUUCGGGAAGCCAAGCCGGGAAGGAAGCUCGUCAAAAAAGGGAACCUCUAAUGUAUGUAGCUACAUUUGUUAUGAUUUAACAUGUUAAAACCAUGCUAAGUAGAACAUUAUCAAGAAGUAGAAUGAAAGACCUUUUUGUGUCAAGUGGUAAUUGAUUUUUAAGUAAAACUGUGUAAAGGGCAUGUAAAAUCGAAGUAUAAAUGACCCACUGAGUCAUAGAGAUAGAGUUAUUACCUAGCAAGGACAACCUUGGUUAUAGACUAUGGUGAGAAUUGAAUAAACGACAGUCACCACUCAUGGUUCUGAAAAGGACUAUGAAUGGCGAACUAAACGGGUCGUUUGCGGUCUAUAGGGCCACAAACAAUGUAUUGGACAUGUAAAACCGAGUAUAGAUAACCCACGGGGGCGUAGAAGCUAAGGUAUUGUCCAUUAUUACCAAUCACAAUCGUGGUUAUGGUUUGAGGAAAUGGAAAAUGGUAAAGGAAUAUGGGAGACUUGAGUUAGAAAGCUCAAUGCCCCUUGACUGGUCGGUUUGGGUAAAACGCCUAACCGAAAGAAUGAAUUAGAUGCUAAAGAAUCCGAGUUGGGAUUGUGGAUUUCGGAUUUAAAGUUUGAAAAGAAAAGUCCAAAAUAUGACAACUUGAGUUUGGGCCAAGUUGGGUAAAUAUGGUGAAAAACUGAAAAGUUUGACUAAGUGUAGAAAUAUGAGAAUUGGUGAAUGAAAUUUUUUGAUAGGUAAAUUAGAAAUGAGUCACCGGAUGGAAGAUCAAGCUACGUGAAGAACCGAACACCCCGGAAAGCUUACUAAUUCCCGCCAUUUGUUUAUGUUUCCUUGAGAUUUUAAAAUGAUGACUUGAAUUUUGUAAUUCAAACUAUUACUAUUACGGCACAUUAUAACAAAAUUGUUUAGU